GAUGAAGAACGCAGCGAAAUGCGAUAAGUAGUGUGAAUUGCAGAAUUCAGUGAAUCAUCGAAUCUUUGAACGCACCUUGCACCCUUUGGUAUUCCGAAGGGUAUGCUCGUUUGAGUGUCAUUGUACUCUCACACUUCUAAUUCCUUUCGGGAUUGGGAGCGGUGGACUUGGGUGUUGCUGCUUUAGUUGUGGCUCACCUCAAAUAAGUUAGUGCAACUCUUGGUUGGACAUAGUACGGCGUGAUAAGUGUCUUCGCCGGCGCCUCUGUAAGGAGGGUGGCCGAUCGGGAGCUCUGUGCUUCAAACCGUCUUCGGACAAUCUUUGACAACUUGACCUCAAAUCGAGUAGGACUACCCGCUGAACUUAAGCAUAUCAAUAAGCGGAGGA
This 387-nucleotide unclassified non-coding RNA is filed under the name soil metagenome. RNAcentral's name for it is "partial contains 5.8S ribosomal RNA, internal transcribed spacer 2, and large subunit ribosomal RNA". The stretch from base 1 to 120 matches the Rfam family "5.8S ribosomal RNA", at positions 35 to 154 of the family's 154-position model. The record is from RNAcentral.